RNAcentral lists this transfer RNA (76 nucleotides) under Clostridia bacterium. RNAcentral describes it as "tRNA-Ala". It matches the Rfam family "tRNA". From Rfam's summary of the family: Transfer RNA (tRNA) molecules are approximately 80 nucleotides in length. Their secondary structure includes four short double-helical elements and three loops (D, anti-codon, and T loops). The record is from RNAcentral. Lineage: Bacteria; Bacillati; Bacillota; Clostridia.
GGGGGUGUAGCUCAGCUGGCAGAGCGCCUGCUUUGCAAGCAGGAAGUCAGCGGUUCGAAUCCGCUCAUCUCCACCA